AGUGAGCGCUGGCGGUAGGCCUAACACAUGCAAGUCGAACGGCAGCACAGUAAGAGCUUGCUCUUACGGGUGGCGAGUGGCGGACGGGUGAGGAAUACAUCGGAAUCUACUUUUUCGUGGGGGAUAACGUAGGGAAACUUACGCUAAUACCGCAUACGACCUACGGGUGAAAGCAGGGGAUCUUCGGACCUUGCGCGAUUGAAUGAGCCGAUGUCGGAUUAGCUAGUUGGCGGGGUAAAGGCCCACCAAGGCGACGAUCCGUAGCUGGUCUGAGAGGAUGAUCAGCCACACUGGAACUGAGACACGGUCCAGACUCCUACGGGAGGCAGCAGUGGGGAAUAUUGGACAAUGGGCGCAAGCCUGAUCCAGCCAUACCGCGUGGGUGAAGAAGGCCUGCGGGUUGUAAAGCCCUUUUGUUGGGAAAGAAAAGCAGCAGGUUAAUACCCCGCUGUUCUGACGGUACCCAAAGAAUAAGCACCGGCUAACUUCGU
RNAcentral lists this ribosomal RNA (491 nucleotides) under uncultured bacterium. RNAcentral's name for it is "partial 16S ribosomal RNA". It matches the Rfam family "Bacterial small subunit ribosomal RNA", at positions 29 to 506 of the family's 1533-position model. The record is from RNAcentral.